GGUAGUGGCAAUAAAUAACAAUGCAGGCGCUGGACAAGAGUCUUGUAAUUGGAAUGAGUACAAUUUAAACCCCUUAACGAGUAACAAUUGGAGGGCAAGUCUGGUGCCAGCAGCCGCGGUAAUUCCAGCUCCAAUAGCGUAUAUUAAAGUUGUUGCAGUUAAAAAGCUCGUAGUUGGAUCUAGGGACGCGCAUUCACAAGCGUCGCGCGUCGUCGGGUCAAACCGGCGGCGCGUCGGCGUUGCGGGCUCGGUCCGCUGGAGGACCAGCGUGUCAACCGGCCCGCCCGUCCCCUCCUUCUGGAUUCCCGUUCCUGCCAUUGAGUUGGUGGGGACGUCACAGGGGGCCGCGCGUCGGCGGUCAAAAACCGGCGUGCGGUCCCUGGGGCCCAGAUCGUUUACCGUGAAAAAAUUAGAGUGUUCAAAGCAGGCAGACAUCAACCAUCUGCCACCGAAUACAUUAGCAUGGGAUAAUGGAAUAGGACCCUGUCCUCCUAUUUUCAGUUGGUUUUCGAGGACCAGGGUAAUGAUUAAUAGGGAUAGUUGGGGGCAUUAAUAUUUAAUUGUCAGAGGUGAAAUUCUUGGAUUUAUGAAAGAUUAACUUCUGCGAAAGCAUCUGCCAAGGAUGUUUUCAUUAAUCAAGAACGAAAGUUAGGGGAUCGAAGACGAUCAGAUACCGUCGUAGUCUUAACCAUAAACGAUGCCGACCAGCGAUUAGGAGACGUUGAAUACAAAACACCACCAUCGGGCGGGUCGUCCCUGGCCGGUCGUCCGUCGCGGCAACGCGGCGGGCGGCCGGUGGGGGCGGUCCGUUUCCCCGAUGGCCCGGUGAAUGACUCCCCUAGCAGCUUGUGAGAAAUCAUAAGUCUUUGGGUUCCGGGGGGAGUAUGGUCGCAAGGCUGAAACUUAAAGGAAUUGACGGAAGGGCACCACCAGGAGUGGAGCCUGCGGCUUAAUUUGACUCAACACGGGGAAACUUACCAGGUCCGGACAUAGUAAGGAUUGACAGAUUGAUAGCUGUGAUGCCCUUAGAUGUUCUGGGCCGCACGCGCGCUACACUGAUUAAUCCAACGAGUCCGCUUCAAUCGAGGCGUGGCGCGGCGGGGCGGGUCAAACCGUUCCGUCGUCGUCGCUGUCCUCGAUCGCGCCUGGGCCGAUAGGUCCGGGUAAUCUUUGCAAAUUUAAUCGUGCUGGGGAUAGAUCAUUGUAAUUAUUGAUCUUCAACGAGGAAUUCCUAGUAAGCGCGAGUCAUCAGCUCGCGUUGAUUACGUCCCUGCCCUUUGUACACACCGCCCGUCGCUCCUACCGAUUGAAUGGUCCGGUGAAAUCCUCAGAGCCAUGGCCUCUACGCAAUCCGGGCAACCGGGUUGUGAGGUCUCACGCGUUGUAAAAGGCGCGUGUCCUGUGGCGAAGUCGAUUGAACCUUACCAUUUAGAGGAAGGAG
RNAcentral lists this ribosomal RNA (1441 nucleotides) under Acanthamoeba sp. Nl130. RNAcentral describes it as "SSU rRNA". It matches the Rfam family "Eukaryotic small subunit ribosomal RNA", at positions 463 to 1785 of the family's 1831-position model. The record is from RNAcentral. Lineage: Eukaryota; Discosea; Longamoebia; Acanthamoebidae.